RNAcentral lists this ribosomal RNA (591 nucleotides) under Triticum aestivum (bread wheat). RNAcentral's name for it is "partial small subunit ribosomal RNA". Lineage: Eukaryota; Viridiplantae; Streptophyta; Magnoliopsida; Poales; Poaceae. The record is from RNAcentral.
AACUGCCGAGGUCCAGGUUAGCCUCGGACAGUCAAAGAACGUGUGUGCCUUCCAAAGACACACUGUCCCAAUGUUAUCUUUCUUUCUAAAACAAGGAAAAAUAAAGAGUAUGUUGAGAGUUUGUGUUAUCAUUUGGGUAUGCAAAAUAUUUUAAUUUCUAUACCAGGCAAAGGAGGUGGAUUAGCUAUCUUUUGGGAUGACCUACACACUUUGGAGCUGAAAAAAUAUGGAGAACAUUUUAUUCAUAUGCACAUUUCUAGUGGUGCUGGCACAAAGUGGAGGAGCACCUUUGUCUAUGGGGAAUCAAAGGCGAGCCAAAGGUUUGUUAUGUCGGAUUUGUUAAGGCGCAUAAAACUGCUUGGGUCUAGGCUGUGGUUUAUGGUUGGUGAUUUUAACGAGGCAAUGCGGCAAAAUGAGAAUUUUUAUCGGAACAAGCGGUCUCCAAAACUCAUGACUAAUUUCCGUGAGAUUCUCUCUGAUUGUAACUUAUACGAUUUGGGUUUCCAUGGAGUUCCCUGGACUUAUAAUAAUAAGAAGGAAGGAAAUAAAAAUGUGAAGGUGCGGCUUGAUCAUGCAGUGGUGUGUCCUUAG